CAAUAGCGUAUAUUAAAGUUGUUGUGGUUAAAAGCUCGUAGUUGGAUCUCGGCGGACUGAGGGCGGUUUGCUUGCUAGUAUUACUGCCCUAUAGUCCGUAGUUUUGCCAGAGGUUUCGGGGUGCUCUUAAUCGAGUGUCCCGGGAUGCUGGCAGGUUUACUUUGAAAAAUUAGAGUGCUCAAAGCAGGCUAUUACGCCUGAAUAUUCGUGCAUGGAAUAAUAGAAUAGGAAGUCGUUUCUAUUUUUGUUGGUUUUCGGAAAUCGACUUAAUGAUUAAUAGGGACAGUCGGGGGCAUUUGUAUUCAAACGACAGAGGUGAAAUUCUUGGACCGUUUGAAGACAAACUACUGCGAAAGCAUUUGCCAAGAAUGUUUUCAUUAAUCAAGAACGAAAGUUAAAGGUUCGAAGACGAUUAGAUACCA
RNAcentral lists this ribosomal RNA (422 nucleotides) under uncultured eukaryote. RNAcentral describes it as "SSU rRNA". It matches the Rfam family "Eukaryotic small subunit ribosomal RNA", at positions 592 to 1017 of the family's 1831-position model. The record is from RNAcentral.